CGAACGAGCUAUGUAACUUGCUGGAUAUAUCUUAGUGGCGGACGGGUGAGUAACACGUGAGCACCUGCCUUUCAGAGUGGAAUAACGUUUGGAAACGAACGCUAAUACCGCAUAAUAUGGCAUCAUCAAAGAUUUAUCGCUGAAAGAUGGGCUCGCGGCCGAUUAGGUAGUUGGUGAGAUAAUAGCCCACCAAGCCACGAUCGGUAGCCGGACUGAGAGGUUGAACGGCCACAUUGGGACUGAGACACGGCCCAGACUCCUACGGGAGGCAGCAGUGGGGGAUAUUGCACAAUGGGGGAAACCCUGAUGCAGCGACGCCGCGUGAGGGAAGACGGCCUUCGGGUUGUAAACCUCUGUCUUCGGGGACGAAUAAGACGGUACCCGAGGAGGAAGCCACGGCUAACUACGUGCCAGCAGCCGCGGUAAUACGUAGGUGGCAAGCGUUGUCCGGAAUUACUGGGUGUAAAGGGAGCGUAGGCGGGGAGCAAGUUGAAUGUCUAAACUAUCGGCUCAACUGAUAGUCGCGUUCAAAACUGCCACUCUUGAGUGCAGUAGAGGUAGGCGGAAUUCCUAGUGUAGCGGUGAAAUGCGUAGAUAUUAGGAGGAACACCAGUGGCGAAGGCGGCCUACUGGGCUGUAACUGACGCUGAGGCUCGAAAGCGUGGGUAGCAAACAGGAUUAGAUACCCUGGUAGUCCACGCCGUANACGAUGAUUACUAGGUGUGGGGGAUGNCCCCUUC
Molecule: ribosomal RNA, 740 nt
Filed under: uncultured bacterium
Lineage: Bacteria
Description: bacterial SSU rRNA
Rfam family: Bacterial small subunit ribosomal RNA
Source: RNAcentral